GCCGAGGUGGUGAAAUUGGCAGACACGCUGCUUUAAGGGGGCAGUGGGAGAAAUCCCGUGGGGGUUCGAGUCCCUUCCUCGGCACCA
RNAcentral lists this transfer RNA (87 nucleotides) under Candidatus Babelota bacterium. RNAcentral describes it as "tRNA-Leu". It matches the Rfam family "tRNA". Rfam says of the family: Transfer RNA (tRNA) molecules are approximately 80 nucleotides in length. Their secondary structure includes four short double-helical elements and three loops (D, anti-codon, and T loops). Further hydrogen bonds mediate the characteristic L-shaped molecular structure. tRNAs have two regions of fundamental functional importance: the anti-codon, which is responsible for specific mRNA codon recognition, and the 3' end, to which the tRNAs corresponding amino acid is attached (by aminoacyl-tRNA synthetases). tRNAs cope with the degeneracy of the genetic code in two manners: having more than one tRNA (with a specific anti-codon) for a particular amino acid; and 'wobble' base-pairing, i.e. permitting non-standard base-pairing at the 3rd anti-codon position. The record is from RNAcentral.